AGAGUUUGAUCAUGGCUCAGAUUGAACGCUGGCGGCAUGCCUUACACAUGCAAGUCGAACGGCAGCACGGGAGCAAUCCUGGUGGCGAGUGGCGAACGGGUGAGUAAUACAUCGGAACGUGUCCUGUAGUGGGGGAUAGCCCGGCGAAAGCCGGAUUAAUACCGCAUACGAUCUGUGGAUGAAAGCGGGGGGAUCUUUGGACCUCGCGCUACAGGGGCGGCCGAUGGCAGAUUAGCUAGUUGGUGGGGUAAAGGCCUACCAAGGCGACGAUCUGUAGCUGGUCUGAGAGGACGACCAGCCACACUGGGACUGAGACACGGCCCAGACUCCUACGGGAGGCAGCAGUGGGGAAUUUUGGACAAUGGGCGAAAGCCUGAUCCAGCAAUGCCGCGUGUGUGAAGAAGGCCUUCGGGUUGUAAAGCACUUUUGUCCGGAAAGAAAACCUCGUGGUUAAUACCCGUGGGGGAUGACGGUACCGGAAGAAUAAGCACCGGCUAACUACGUGCCAGCAGCCGCGGUAAUACGUAGGGUGCAAGCGUUAAUCGGAAUUACUGGGCGUAAAGCGUGCGCAGGCGGUUCGCUAAGACAGAUGUGAAAUCCCCGGGCUUAACCUGGGAACUGCAUUUGUGACUGGCGGGCUAGAGUAUGGCAGAGGGGGGUAGAAUUCCACGUGUAGCAGUGAAAUGCGUAGAGAUGUGGAGGAAUACCGAUGGCGAAGGCAGCCCCCUGGGCCAAUACUGACGCUCAUGCACGAAAGCGUGGGGAGCAAACAGGAUUAGAUACCCUAGUAGUCC
Molecule: ribosomal RNA, 794 nt
Filed under: uncultured bacterium
Lineage: Bacteria
Description: bacterial SSU rRNA
Rfam family: Bacterial small subunit ribosomal RNA
Source: RNAcentral